UGAGCGCCUCAAAUUUGGACACAGUGGGACAAAGACCUGGAAUCUCAGGGCCUGAAAGUGGUUCUUGGUAGCCUGUGCACCUAGGAAGGCAACAUGGACCGGGUGAUUGCUUAAAUUGCUCGGGGCAGUCCACGCGUACACAGCUGAAGUCUUCUUUAGCUACCACAUCACACUGACAGAGAAAAUACGAGCCUGGUUAGGUAGGAAGGUCAGAACAGUCUUAUUCUAGGAGGGCAGCAGUGCUCACAGCCAGAGCCUGUAAACGGCGGGUGAAUUGCACCAGAUGGUAUGUGUCCCUUCCAUUAAUAUAAAAAUACAGGGCAUUAAUCUAGACAUGGUCCUUUCCCAUCUACGGACCCUGCCCACCAUCUUCAAGACCUGACUUUUAGGAAGCAUUUUCCCACUGUUCUACCGCGUAAGUUUGUACACUGUCUGAGCCGUCUUUUGUCCUCAGGAAACAAAAAAAUAGCACGGGCUUCACACAGUCGGGAGGAUUCAAUGAGAUUCUAUCAGGUGCCUAGCACAUAGGAGGCACUCCAUAAAGGAGAGCUGCCUCUUGUCCUGUCAGGCUGGAAGCCCCCUGGAUAGUCUAUUCUAGAGGAACGGAGAGCUUCAUAAGAAUUGCUUCUUCGUAGCUGUGAGGCCGUGGGCAUGUGAAGAGCCAGGAAUACGAAACACAAAAAACAUUACGACUACAUGGCACCUCGGGAACGAGGAGGAAAGCCUCAGCCUAACAACGACACGCAGCAGUAAAGUCGGCAGCUUUCCCUUUAAGUAGGGCGGGCCGCCCCGCGGACGGAGCCCUCCGGAAGUCGCUGCGCGCCGCCACGAGAUCAGAUUCCUCCGCCGAGCGCGGCGCCGGGUCCCCCGGCUUCGCCCCUGUCUGCACCAGACUUGCUCCUCUCCCCGCCGCCCGACGGCAACAGGUCUUCCGGCUGCCGCUUCUCCGGCCGAUACUGCCGGUGACCUGCCCGCCGGCGCUCGGGCCUAGGCCUGGCCUGGUCUGCGGAGGCCGCCGCACGCCGCCGGCGGAACCUGGCCCCGAGCCCGCCACGCACUUCCGGCGACGCCAGGCGGGGACUGAGGCGGGCGGGGCGCGGCGCGGCGGCCCUGAUGGACGCGCUGGCGGUCCUGAUGCAGGCUUCCUGACCCAGAACGAUGUCCUGCGCAGGGAGAACACCAGCUCAUGGGCCAGGGUUCUGACUGUUGUGACAAACACAAAAGGACAGAUUGCCAGAUGCAAACAAGGCAGCAUCAUCGCUUAAUUCCUAGGCAGACAUCCUACAACGUGGGCCUUCUGGAUGUGGAGACUACACGGGACUUCAUACCGCAUCUCCUCUGGAUUUUAGACAGCUGAGGCCUGAAUUGCAAUAAUCCAACUGAGAAAGGAAAGAGUUUUAGUGUAAGGUGGAGGUGAAAGAAGUGGAGAGAAGGACAUAGAUUUGAGGUAUGUUUUGGAGAUAGAAAUGACAAGCCUUAUAGAUAAAUACGAUGUGCGAAGUGUUUCUUCCUCUCUCCCCAGUCAGGAAUAUUGGACUUUCCAUUUCUAUCUUUCUACAUCCUCUUAUUCCUCCCCAAGGGAGGAGGAGGGGAUAAAGUAAUUAGUCAGAGCUCACUAGUCUUUGGACAUCCUUUUCCUUGUGGAUGAGACAUGGAGAUACACUUCCUGUGCUCAGGCAGAGCUGGUCCUCUGGUGCUUAUUGUUGCACUGCAGGGUGAUAGUAUGCCAAUAGCCUCCUAACUACAUCCCUUCUUACUCCCUUCCAGUCCAUCGUUCACACUGGUCAUGGUUACUUCUUUUGUUUAAUUUCUCCAAAUAGUUCACUUAAUUUACCUGGAGAGAUUUGGAAAUCUAUUUUUGGCCUACAACAGUGGAGAUAUUACUAAGAAGCAUCUCCAGUCAAGUUUGUUCUUUGCUUUGGUGCAGGAAUGGCAUUGCCAUUUUUAUGAUAUAAUACUGUAUGUCUCUCACUGGACUUCAUUGUUGGAAGCCACUCCUUUGUCAGGUGACUGUAAAAAACUGCAUCAAAAAAAAUAGAGCCACACAGAAUCUCCAGUUGUUUUAAAAAUAAGAAAAGAAUAGGUUGGUAGAGAUAUUUUCCAUUUUUGAAAGGGUUAUUAAAAAUGAAAUAAAAAAAGUUCAUUACAAGUUAUGAAAAAUGCAUUGACCUUUGAAGUUCAAACAAGCUCAAAAAGAGCAGGAUAAUUAAAGAAGACAAGCAAAAAGUUUAAAAACAUAUAUGAAGCUUUACUAAUGAGCAUGUUUAAAAUAAAUAAUGUAUCUUCAUGAGUUAUUGAUGAUCUUAUAAUUCAUAAGUGCUGAGAAAAACAUAACGAACGAUUUGUAAAAAGUCAUCAAAAGCAAGUAAGAACACAGCCAGCUCAUUGCUUAUCGUGUAACUGAUUAAAGUUCUAUCUAGAAAGUAGAAAGGUAAAAAAAAAAAAAAAGAAAAGGAGUGGGUAACAGAAAGGUAUGGGUACUUGGUUGAAUAAUAUCUCCCCAAAAUUCAUGUCCACUCAGAAGUUCAGAAUGUGACCUUAUAUAGAAAUAGGAUUUCUGCAGAUUUAAUGAUAAAGAUGAUAAGUAGAUAAAGAUGAGGUCAUGCUGAAUUAGGGUGGGCCCUAAAUCCAAUAUGAGUAGUGUCCUGAUAAGGAGAGGAUGUAGAGAGACAGAGACACCCAGGGGAGAAAGGCAGGUGACAGACGGAGACUGAAUGAUGCAGCUGCAAGCCAAGGAAUGCCAAGGAUUGCGGGCCACCACCAGAAGCUAGAAGAGAGGAUGGGACAGCUUCUUCCCUGGAACCUCAGAAGGAUCAUGGCCCUGCUGACACCUUGAUUGCAGACUUUAGACCUCCAGAACCACGAGAGAAUAUGUUUCUGUUUUCUCAAGCCACCCCAUUUCUGGUACUUUGUUACGGAAACUCUAGUAAAUUAAUAUAGGGUCAAAAAAGAAAAGAAUUUCAAUUAGUAUUUAAUAUCAGAAAGUAAAUAAUUACUUAAAGAAAAGAACACGGAAAGAUCAUAGUGACUGGACCAUGAUUCCUAACUCAAAUAUUGAAUUCAAUGUUUCUAUUUGCCAAAAUCUGUGAGCCACAUAUCUUUUAAGUUAUAAGCAGUCCUAUAUUUGAAUAUCAAUUCUAUUUAACAAAUAUUCAGUUAUCCUUUAGAAGCCUAGGGGUGCUAAGAGUUGGGGUUGAUAAAAUAGAGAAUUUUAUAAACAAUAGGCCUCAAGUAAUUUCACUUGUUAGAAAAACAAUAAAUAACCAAGGGACUAAGUGUAAUAAAAGAAGAUAUAUUUCAAAGUACUACAUUAGGCUGUAGUUAAGGUCCAAAAGGGAAGAUAGAAAUUAUAAUGGACAUGAAGCAUCAAAAAGAGGACCAGCUGAAUCCAUUGUGUAUACUUCCCAGAAAUCAAGGAACUUAGUGGGCCUUCAGAAAUAUUUGAGAUGUGGUGAGGCUGAGUUAAAAGAAGCUGGGUGGAGGUCAACAUUUAAACAUAGCUCCCUUAUAGAGAUCCAUUGUAACAGCCUCUGGACAACAGGAGCAGAUGUUCAUUCUCUGCUCUGGUUUUCCUGAUACUCUCUCUAUUUGUGUCUUCCUUGUGGAAUUGUGGCACUCAGGGUAGUCAACUAUUGCAGGGUUAGAAUUCAUCAUGAUUCUAGAAUCAAUUACUAUUAAUUGUCAGUAGUAUGAAGGGGCUUGUGACCAUUAAUAGCACCAAAGGACAUAGAUCAGUAAAAGAUAUGAAAAGUGAAAAGUACAAAACAAUUUUGAAGCAUGUUAUUUAUAAGUAUAGGAGUUAAAAUUUUUUGCUUCAAAUUAAUCAUUCUUCAUAACACACUAUUCUGUAAUUAUUCUCAUUUAACAUAACUAAAACUUGGAAAUUUUAUUUUAAAAUACAAAUAGUUAAUGUCCAAUUGUCAUUUACUUUAAAAGUCUAUUUUUGUAUUUCAAAAUCAACACUGUUCAUAUCCUAAUAACUGAUUAACAUUGGUAACCAGAUGUUUGGGAAGUUGCCUUAUUGUUGAAUUAAAUUACAAUUAAGUACACCUAUCCUCAAUUGCAAAAUCCUGUCACUUUCACAUGUUCAUAUUUUCAUAAUGCCAUUUAAAAUAUUCUA
This 4120-nucleotide long non-coding RNA is filed under the name Equus caballus (horse). Its description in RNAcentral is "lncRNA (ENSECAG00000054430.1)". The record is from RNAcentral. Lineage: Eukaryota; Metazoa; Chordata; Mammalia; Perissodactyla; Equidae.